RNAcentral lists this transfer RNA (63 nucleotides) under Abraliopsis morisii. RNAcentral describes it as "tRNA-His". The record is from RNAcentral. Lineage: Eukaryota; Metazoa; Mollusca; Cephalopoda; Oegopsida; Enoploteuthidae.
GUAAAGUUAGUUUAAUGAAAAUAGGAAAUUGUGGGUUUCCAGAUAAAUUAUAUUUACUUUACU